AAAAAUCCGCCAAAGGGUGGAAUUUACGACGAUCUUUAUGGAGAAUCAGCUCCUGCUAAAGUCGGGUCUUGGGCAUAUUCUGAUUCCAGUCAGGCGGCUUCUACUAACGAUGCUAAAGGAGAAUCCCCUGGUUCUUUAGGCAGAAUCUCGGGAAAUAUCUCAAGCAAUGUAGACGACGAUACUGAUGAUUUGUUUGGAUAGUAAAUGCAUUGCUACAUGAGGCUCCCCUGGUCCUCUAGGCAGAAUCUCGGGAAAUAUCUCAAGCAAUGUAGACGACGAUACUGAUGAUUUGUUUGGAUAGUAAAUGCAUUGCUGCAUGAGGUGUCUCUAGUAGAUUGAAUCAUGUUAUAGUCUUUAUGUUAUUCUUGUUCUUCCAUUUCCUGGCAUGCACCAACAAGAUUCAUUUUUGAACCGAGUCUUAACCUGUUAGAGCACUGAAUCUGUGACUUGAGAUUAAUGGAAAAAAGUGUAUGUUAUCUUUCCCAUUUUCAUUUUGUGCAAAACAAAAGGCCAUAACGCUAAUGUGGUGCUUUUUGUUGUACUAGUUUCUGAACACGUGCGUUGAAUAUUAAUUAGUACAAAUUUUAUUAAAGUAAAA
RNAcentral lists this long non-coding RNA (598 nucleotides) under Nicotiana benthamiana. RNAcentral describes it as "long non-coding RNA (NBEN_LNC019746)". The record is from RNAcentral. Lineage: Eukaryota; Viridiplantae; Streptophyta; Magnoliopsida; Solanales; Solanaceae.